RNAcentral lists this ribosomal RNA (468 nucleotides) under uncultured bacterium. RNAcentral's name for it is "partial 16S ribosomal RNA". It matches the Rfam family "Bacterial small subunit ribosomal RNA", at positions 28 to 507 of the family's 1533-position model. The record is from RNAcentral.
GACGAACGCUGGCGGCGUGCUUAACACAUGCAAGUCGAACGGAAAGGCCCUGCUUUUGUUGGGUGCUCGAGUGGCGAACGGGUGAGUAACACGUGAGUAACCUGCCCUUGACUUUGGGAUAACUUCAGGAAACUGGGGCUAAUACCGGAUAUGAUCUCCUGCUGCAUGGUGGGGGUUGGAAAGUUUCGGCGGUUGGGGAUGGACUCGCGGCUUAUCCGCUUGUUGGUGGGGUAGUGGCUUACCAAGGCUUUGACGGGUAGCCGGCCUGAGAGGGUGACCGGCCACAUUGGGACUGAGAUACGGCCCAGAAUCCUACGGGAGGCAGCAGUGGGGAAUAUUGCACAAUGGGCGGAAGCCUGAUGCAGCAACGCCGCGUGCGGGAUGACGGCCUUCGGGUUGUAAACCGCUUUCGCCUGUGACGAAGAGUGAGUGACGGUAAUGGGUAAAGAAGCACCGGCUAACUACGUG